UGACACAUUUUUCCAUACGGUGGAACC
This 27-nucleotide small RNA is filed under the name Bombyx mori (domestic silkworm). RNAcentral describes it as "ovarian small RNA-31340". Lineage: Eukaryota; Metazoa; Arthropoda; Insecta; Lepidoptera; Bombycidae. The record is from RNAcentral.